CGGAGGACAGUCAGUUGCUAGCAAAUCGAUUCGUUGUUCAUCACUCCAACAUUCAUAUUCAUCAUGGACUUCUUCACUUCUUCUUCACUUCUUCACACCUUCUGUCUUUGGGUUUCAGAAAUAAGACUUGAUUAUUCACUACGAAUUCUUCCACAAAAAUUCUGGAAAAGGUAAUUGCGUAAUACGCCAUUUUUAUGUCAUUUUCAGAUGAUUCUAACACAGUGCCAAACUGGUCUCUUGUUAAAUUUUGAAUUUGAAGCAGCG
RNAcentral lists this long non-coding RNA (264 nucleotides) under Vigna radiata. RNAcentral describes it as "long non-coding RNA (VRAD_LNC009770)". Lineage: Eukaryota; Viridiplantae; Streptophyta; Magnoliopsida; Fabales; Fabaceae. The record is from RNAcentral.